UCAUGAAAGCCGGCUGUACCCGAAGUCAUCGUGCCAACCGCAAGGGGGCAGAUGCCGAAGGUAUGGCGUGGUGAUUGGGAGUG
This 83-nucleotide ribosomal RNA is filed under the name uncultured bacterium. RNAcentral describes it as "partial 16S ribosomal RNA". The record is from RNAcentral.